Molecule: non-coding RNA, 45 nt
Filed under: Schistosoma mansoni
Lineage: Eukaryota; Metazoa; Platyhelminthes; Trematoda; Strigeidida; Schistosomatidae
Source: RNAcentral
AUAAGCUGACGAGUCCCAAAAUAGGACGAAACGCGCGUCCUGAAU